AUACGUAGGGGGCAAGCGUUGUCCGGAAUUACUGGGCGUAAAGCGCACGCAGGCUGAAUUAUAAGUCGGUAGUCAAAGGCGGAGGCUCAACCUCUGUAUAUAUAUCGAUACUGUAAAUCUGGAGUAUGUGAGAGGGAAGCGGAAUUCCCGGUGUAGCGGUGAAAUGCGUAGAUAUCGUGAGGAACACCAGUGGAGAAGGCGCCUUCCUGGCAAAAGUCUGACGCUCAUGUGCGAAAGCUAGGGCAGCGAACGUGAGAUGAUACCCCGGUAGCCCUAGCCGUAAACGAUGGAUACUAGGUGUUGGUGUCGCAGGGCAUCCGUGCCGCAGUUAACGCGUUAAGUCGACCGCCUGGGGAGUACGGCCGCAAGGUUAAAACUCAAAUGAAUUGGCGGGG
This 395-nucleotide ribosomal RNA is filed under the name uncultured bacterium. RNAcentral's name for it is "partial 16S ribosomal RNA". It matches the Rfam family "Bacterial small subunit ribosomal RNA", at positions 523 to 918 of the family's 1533-position model. The record is from RNAcentral.